Molecule: ribosomal RNA, 440 nt
Filed under: uncultured bacterium
Lineage: Bacteria
Description: bacterial SSU rRNA
Rfam family: Bacterial small subunit ribosomal RNA
Source: RNAcentral
CCUACGGGUGGCAGCAGUCGAGAAUUUUUCUCAAUGGGCGCAAGCCUGAAGGAGCGACGCCGCGUGGGGGAUGAAGGGUUUCGAUCCGUAAACCCCUGUCAUUUGUGAACAAGGUUCAACCAAUAACACUGGUUGGAUUGAUAGUAGCGAAAGAGGAAGGGACGGCUAACUCUGUGCCAGCAGCCGCGGUAAUACAGAGGUCCCGAGCGUUGUUCGGAUUCACUGGGCGUAAAGGGUGCGUAGGUGGUGAUGUAAGUUUGAUGUGAAAUCUCCGGGCUUAACCCGGAAAUGGCAUUGAAUACUACGUUGCUGGAGGAUUGGAGGGGGGACUGGAAUUCUCGGUGUAGCAGUGAAAUGCGUAGAUAUCGAGAGGAACACCAGUGGCGAAGGCGAGUCCCUGGACAAUACCUGACACUGAGGCACGAAAGCUAGGGGAGCAA